RNAcentral lists this ribosomal RNA (1244 nucleotides) under Phytoplasma sp. RNAcentral's name for it is "bacterial SSU rRNA". It matches the Rfam family "Bacterial small subunit ribosomal RNA", at positions 153 to 1399 of the family's 1533-position model. The record is from RNAcentral. Lineage: Bacteria; Bacillati; Mycoplasmatota; Mollicutes; Acholeplasmatales; Acholeplasmataceae.
GAAACGACUGCUAAGACUGGAUAGGAGAUAAGAAGGCAUCUUCUUAUUUUUAAAAGACCUAGCAAUAGGUAUGCUUAGGGAAGAGCUUGCGUCACAUUAGUUAGUUGGUGGGGUAAUGGCCUACCAAGACGAUGAUGUGUAGCCGGGCUGAGAGGUCGAACGGCCACAUUGGGACUGAGACACGGCCCAAACUCCUACGGGAGGCAGCAGUAAGGAAUUUUCGGCAAUGGAGGAAACUCUGACCGAGCAAUGCCGCGUGAACGAUGAAGUAUUUUGGUACGUAAAGUUCUUUUAUUAGGGAAGAAAAGAUGGUGGAAAAACCAUUAUGACGGUACCUAAUGAAUAAGCCCCGGCUAACUAUGUGCCAGCAGCCGCGGUAAUACAUAGGGGGCAAGCGUUAUCCGGAAUUAUUGGGCGUAAAGGGUGCGUAGGCGGUUAAAUAAGUUUAUGGUCUAAGUGCAACGCUCAACGUUGUGAUGCUAUAAAAACUGUUUAGCUAGAGUUGGAUAGAGGCAAGUGGAAUUCCGUGUGUAGUGGUAAAAUGCGUAAAUAUACGGAGGAACACCAGAAGCGAAGGCGGCUUGCUGGGUCUUAACUGACGCUGAGGCACGAAAGCGUGGGGAGCAAACAGGAUUAGAUACCCUGGUAGUCCACGCCCUAAACGAUGAGUACUAAACGUUGGAUAAAACCAGUGUUGAAGUUAACACAUUAAGUACUCCGCCUGAGUAGUACGUACGCAAGUAUGAAACUUAAAGGAAUUGACGGGACUCCGCACAAGCGGUGGAUCAUGUUGUUUAAUUCGAAGGUACCCGAAAAACCUCACCAGGUCUUGACAUGCUUUUGCAAAGCUGUAGAAAUACAGUGGAGGUUAUCAGAAGCACAGGUGGUGCAUGGUUGUCGUCAGCUCGUGUCGUGAGAUGUUGGGUUAAGUCCCGCAACGAGCGCAACCCUUGUUGUUAAUUGCCAUCAUUAAGUUGGGGACUUUAGCAAGACUGCCAAUGAUAAAUUGGAGGAAGGUGGGGACGACGUCAAAUCAUCAUGCCCCUUAUGACCUGGGCUACAAACGUGAUACAAUGGCUGUUACAAAGGGUAGCUAAAGCGUAAGCUUCUGGCGAAUCUCAAAAAAGCAGUCUCAGUUCGGAUUGAAGUCUGCAACUCGACUUCAUGAAGUUGGAAUCGCUAGUAAUCGCGAAUCAGCAUGUCGCGGUGAAUACGUUCUCGGGGUUUGUACACACCGCCCGUCA